RNAcentral lists this transfer RNA (65 nucleotides) under Clephydroneura sp. RNAcentral describes it as "tRNA-Phe". The record is from RNAcentral. Lineage: Eukaryota; Metazoa; Arthropoda; Insecta; Diptera; Asilidae.
AUUCAAAUAGCUUAAUUUAGAGCAUAACACUGAAGAUGUUGGGGUAAUUUAUUGAUUUUUGAGUA